This 253-nucleotide ribosomal RNA is filed under the name uncultured bacterium. RNAcentral describes it as "partial 16S ribosomal RNA". It matches the Rfam family "Bacterial small subunit ribosomal RNA", at positions 524 to 776 of the family's 1533-position model. The record is from RNAcentral.
UACGGAGGGGGCUAGCGUUGUUCGGAAUUACUGGGCGUAAAGCGUGCGCAGGCGGUUCGUUGUGUCGGCGGUGAAAGCCCCGGGCUCAACCUGGGAAUGGCCGUUGAAACUGGCGAACUGGAGUGUGGCAGAGGGGGGUGGAAUUCCGCGUGUAGCAGUGAAAUGCGUAGAGAUGCGGAGGAACACCGAUGGCGAAGGCAGUCCCCUGGGCUAACACUGACGCUCAGGCACGAAAGCGUGGGGAGCAAACAGG